UCUCUCAAUUUUUCCAGUCUCUCUCAAGCGGAAAAAAACCCCAAGUUACUACGAACACAGCCGCAGCCACCUUCACUCAAUCACAACUACCACCACUGUAAUCCCUCAUCCCAGAACCAAAAAUCUUUAUUAUUAUUUUCAUUUUGAUUUACUUGAAUCGAAAAAAUGUUCCUACCUCAUCAUUCUUUUCAGCAACGAAUACCUAGAUUUGCUUCAGUUACCACCAAUUUCACUAACCUAGUACUAUUAUUUCUAUGGUACUUAGAGCACGAAAUUAGUGAACUGGCAAACUACAUAUCCACUGUGGAAUUCCAUUCUUUGUCGCGGUGAGCUGCACAUCCUUAUAUGAUGGUAGAUCAUUUUAAAGAUGUCACUCCUCAAGAGACAAUCCAAAUGGAUAAAGAAUGCCUGAGAAACAUUAUCUUGGAAGGGUACCUUGGAGGACGUCACAUCGAGGAAGGAGCUAAGGAACUUCUUUCUCAGCUAGGUGCAUAUUGCUAGAGUUGGUGAUUUCCUGUUAGCUAGCUUGACAAGCUUAGCUGAUCCAUUUCUUGUUGUUAGCGAUCUCGCUGCAUGGAGUGCGAGUGUGUCAGAGCAGGGUCUUAUGUUAACUUUAAGUUCCACAAUGUUUCAUUUGAAAUGGUUAAAACUCAUAAUCCUUCUCAGCAUAUUCUCGUUGGAGGUGUCACUCUUGAAGAAGAAGCUGUUGGAUGUAUUCAGGGAGCUAUGGUCCAGUUAAGGAUGUUAAAAUCCCUGACAACAGAAAAGGAUGCUCUGAUUUGUUACGGUUCUUAACAUGGACACUAUCAAAAUAAUUCUAAAUGAAGGGAUCAUUUUCUUGUGGAACUCGAUUGCCGGCGAAGCCGUAUUGUGAAAAAUCAUGACUUGUUGAUAGGCGUAUUAGAUGCCAAUGCUGAAACUGGUACAGCUAAAGAGAAAACUAGGUUCUUCUGUUCUUGAUCUUGGUUGUGCUCUUCAGCCUUCAGGUGUUUGAGCUUUGGAGUCGAGCAUCCAGCUGCUUAAGUAGAUAAAUACUCUUGUCAUGCCUGCAACCUUUAUUCUUGUACCAACUAAGCAGCUGGAGAGGAUUGUUUUUUUGUCCAACAACACUUGAGUAAGAUUGAAUUGUUUUUGGGUAGAUUUCAUAAUGAAUAGAAGGAUUCGUUCGUAUUUGUGUUUCGGUAGAUUUGUAGAUUGAGAUUGUGUAAUAAUGAAUGUAGGAAUUGGUAGAAAGAAUAUGGAUAGUUUGCUGAAAAAAGAAAAUUCAAUUGUGUUUCAGGUUUAAUUGUAUUUCAGUCCUGUAAACUGAAAGUGCAGGUCCAUGAUAAUGACAUGUAUUACAGGCUUGUAAACUGGAAGCCCGGGUCCAUGAAAAUGAUCUGGGCUACCCAUUUUUUUUAAUUGUAAUUUAAAGAAAUGUCCCAGGUUUAACUGUUA
Papaver somniferum (opium poppy) is the source of this 1437-nucleotide long non-coding RNA. RefSeq lists it as uncharacterized. Lineage: Eukaryota; Viridiplantae; Streptophyta; Magnoliopsida; Ranunculales; Papaveraceae. The record is from RefSeq and is a predicted model, not a curated record. The transcript has 6 exons.